CGUGUCCGAACACUUUACGAUCUUUCACGUAGUCCGGAUCUAUCAGCACCACGCCAUCUGAAACGGGAUUCGAAAGGGAAAAUCAUUCAUCAUUAAUCACAUGGUUAAGCCCAGGUACAAACUUCUUCAAAAUCAUGGGGAUUGGUGGUGAUAUGAAAUGGAAUUUUUUAGCAAAGGAAGAUCAUCC
Aedes aegypti (yellow fever mosquito) is the source of this 187-nucleotide long non-coding RNA. RefSeq lists it as uncharacterized. The record is from RefSeq and is a predicted model, not a curated record. The transcript has 2 exons. Lineage: Eukaryota; Metazoa; Arthropoda; Insecta; Diptera; Culicidae.